This 253-nucleotide ribosomal RNA is filed under the name uncultured bacterium. RNAcentral's name for it is "partial 16S ribosomal RNA". It matches the Rfam family "Bacterial small subunit ribosomal RNA", at positions 524 to 776 of the family's 1533-position model. The record is from RNAcentral.
UACGGAGGGUGCAAACGUUGCUCGGAAUCAUUGGGCGUAAAGCGCAUGUAGGCGGCCGUGUAAGUCGGAUGUGAAAGCCCUGGGCUCAACCCAGGAAGUGCAUUCGAAACUGCACGGCUUGAAUAUGGAAGGGGGUCGCGGAAUUCCCGGUGUAGAGGUGAAAUUCGUAGAUAUCGGGAGGAACACCAGUGGCGAAGGCGGCGACCUGGGCCAAUAUUGACGCUGAGGUGCGAAAGCGUGGGGAGCAAACAGG